Molecule: ribosomal RNA, 446 nt
Filed under: uncultured bacterium
Lineage: Bacteria
Description: SSU rRNA
Rfam family: Bacterial small subunit ribosomal RNA
Source: RNAcentral
AGAACGAACGCUGGCGGCAUGCCUAACACAUGCAAGUCGAACGAGACCUUCGGGUCUAGUGGCGCACGGGUGCGUAACGCGUGGGAAUCUGCCCUUGGGUUCGGAAUAACAGUUAGAAAUGACUGCUAAUACCGGAUGAUGACGUAAGUCCAAAGAUUUAUCGCCCAAGGAUGAGCCCGCGUAGGAUUAGCUAGUUGGUGAGGUAAAGGCUCACCAAGGCGACGAUCCUUAGCUGGUCUGAGAGGAUGAUCAGCCACACUGGGACUGAGACACGGCCCAGACUCCUACGGGAGGCAGCAGUGGGGAAUAUUGGACAAUGGGCGAAAGCCUGAUCCAGCAAUGCCGCGUGAGUGAUGAAGGCCUUAGGGUUGUAAAGCUCUUUUACCCGGGAUGAUAAUGACAGUACCGGGAGAAUAAGCUCCGGCUAACUCCGUGCCAGCAGCCGC